UCUCAUGGUUGAACACUUUCUUAUCUUCAGACACAUCUCCUCACAGGGCUGAGAAAAGUGGGAGAGAACACAGAGAUCCUUUUCAGUGUGACUGUCCUGAGGAAUAGGCUGCCCAGAGUUUCAGACCCAGUACCUGGAACAGAACUUUAAACCUGGUAGUGCCCAAAAAACACUUGCAAAGUGAAUGAAUACCUUUCAGUCUGGUGAUUGAAUUGGAAUAGCUCUUUAAGGAGAAGAAAUGCCCUCCCGGCAUGACUGACAUGGACUCUCACUGAAGACCCAAGGACUUCAGGAAACCUCAGUGGAGGAGUCAGCUGGGGAAUGGCCACCAGGCAGUUUCAACCAAAAAUUCAAACAUACUCAAAAAUUUCUCAACCCAAACGCAGUACACAAUAUAAGCAGAUGAUUAAAAGUCCCCAUUGCAUUUCCCAUUUA
This is a long non-coding RNA of Hyaena hyaena (striped hyena), 435 nucleotides long. RefSeq lists it as uncharacterized. The transcript is spliced from 2 exons. The record is from RefSeq and is a predicted model, not a curated record. Lineage: Eukaryota; Metazoa; Chordata; Mammalia; Carnivora; Hyaenidae.